CCGCACCCGAGUCAACGGGUGAAACCCGAAUUGACUGGGUUUAGGUUCGGGUUCGGGUGCCACCCGAUAUUUCGGGUGUGGGUUUGGGAUAGCUUAAACCCGCACCCGAAACCCGAAACCACACCCGCUUAUAUAUUAAAUUACAAAACUAUCCCUAAAUAUAUAUAUAUUUCAAUAAUUAAAAAUAAAAUGUAG
This is a non-coding RNA of Vicia faba (fava bean), 195 nucleotides long. The record is from the annotation of a GenBank genome assembly. Lineage: Eukaryota; Viridiplantae; Streptophyta; Magnoliopsida; Fabales; Fabaceae.